RNAcentral lists this ribosomal RNA (450 nucleotides) under uncultured bacterium. RNAcentral's name for it is "partial 16S ribosomal RNA". It matches the Rfam family "Bacterial small subunit ribosomal RNA", at positions 354 to 796 of the family's 1533-position model. The record is from RNAcentral.
GUGGGGAAUUUUGGACAAUGGGGGCAACCCUGAUCCAGCCAUCCCGCGUGUGCGAUGAAGGCCUUCGGGUUGUAAAGCACUUUUGGCAGGGAAGAAAAGUUUCGGGCUAAUACCCUGGAGCGAUGACGGUACCUGCAGAAUAAGCACCGGCUAACUACGUGCCAGCAGCCGCGGUAAUACGUAGGGUGCAAGCGUUAAUCGGAAUUACUGGGCGUAAAGCGUGCGCAGGCGGUUCGGAAAGAAAGAUGUGAAAUCCCAGGGCUUAACCUUGGAACUGCAUUUUUAACUGUCGAACUCGAGUAUGUCAGAGGGGGGUAGAAUUCCACGUGUAGCAGUGAAAUGCGUAGAGAUGUGGAGGAAUACCGAUGGCGAAGGCAGCCCCCUGGGCAUGCACUGACGCUCAUGCACGAAAGCGUGGGGAGCAAACAGGAUUAGAAACCCUAGUAGUCC